CUGGAGAGGCUGUAGGGAAGUAAUCGGGAUCAGAUGAGGUCUCAGGAAUGGGGUCUCCUAGGACGACCUCAGGGGAAAAGCUUACCGUAGCUCCCUUCCCAUGUUAGUGUGUAGCACAAGGCCCCUGGCAGGCGCCAGAGCCAUGCCUCCAACAGCUGUGGGCUGAACACAUUACCAUUACUAUUUCGUUCUUUGUCACUCACUUAGUCUCGGGAUUUUUGUUAUGAAAAAAGAAAAAUGGACUAAGGUACACGUUCACCAAUUGAAAGGAAUAAAAUGAAGCCAAAUCCCAGCCAAAUCCUUCACUGCACCAGGACAGCUCUGGAUUGUGCAACCCAGUAAGAAGAAGACUAACCACACUUUUAGAAUGAACGUUAAUUUAUCUCUCCCUGUGCUCACAGCCUGACCAGAUGACAUUGUACAGCAGAAGCAUCUGACAUUUCUGAAUAGGUUUCCUCCUGGUGGUCUGGGUGCAUUCUUCCCACUGUCUCCCAGCAGCAAGCGCAUCCGACGUGCUCGAGGGUAGAUUAUGACUUCUCUUCAACUGGCUCCUAGGGCCAAAGGUAGGGUUAGAAAGAGACCGCUUUGCAGACAUUGGUGCCCUCUACUGGUCACGCCAAGAUAUGCAGCUUCAAGGGAGACUGGCGCAGGCAAAUCAAAAUCAACUCAUAACACAGAAGUGGAAGUUACGUGCCAUUACUUCUAAGUGGUCUCACCUUGGGCAAAUGAUACAGUUCCUCAGCUUCAGGUGUUGACCGGAACCAGGAACCAGGGCUCAGUUAACUCACCAGAUGGAUCGUGGCAGGUCAGAUGAGUCUCUGUGGUUCUCUCGGGCUCCCACCCAUCACAGGCUCGCAGCCACCUGAUGUUAGCCCCUGCUCCCAACACCAUGUCCAGUCCACACAAGACUGUGUUCAAAGUUCGAGACCUUAGACAUCCCGCAUAGGUGCGUGGAAAAUCGUGUGACGGAAUGCAGAUCUGGACCGAGGCAGCCAGCUUCCACAUCUAUGAAAAGCCACCAAUCCCUUCACCGCCCUGGAGGCAGCCCACAGGGGCCUUCACCCCAUCACCCAUCUGCGUCUUCCCGGUGCCGGUACAGACCUGAGACGGUGAGCGCUUCGCUAAGGAUCUGGUAAACUUACGAAGACAACUUUCUGCUUCCUGGUCAUCCACUGGUCACUUCAAAACAUUGCUUCAGAGUCCUGCAGAGCUUCAAACUGUGGGCGAAUUUCAUUCUCUGAGGGCUACAGUUCCCAUCCAUUACCCCUGCAUGCAUCGUCUGUGAUGAACACUCAGUUCUUGGGAAACCAUCAUAUUCAUGGUUGGUGGAUACAGAUUCUCCAAAAUUCUAAUGUUCACCUGAGAGAGCAAAUGUUUUAAGCACUGGCCACCAAUGCUGUCCUUUUCCUCUGGAGGAGACAUACUCCCUUUAUUGUCUCUAAAGAAAAUGUCUACUGCAUACUCGAGUCUGAAUAGUGUCAGCUGCGUUCUCGGUGAGAUGGCCGGCCACACAGGAAGGAGCUGCCUUAACACAGAAGCUGCUCUCACACUUUUUUUCCCCUCGGCAUAACCGUCCUGGAAACACAAUAAAAUACUUAAUGUGUGCAUCCAGUUUUUGUUAUAGAGGGUCUUAAAAGGUUGUACACUAAAGAUGUAAGAUCAAAUACACUUUCAGAGCUCAUGAAGAACCU
This 1691-nucleotide small RNA is filed under the name Rattus norvegicus (Norway rat). RNAcentral describes it as "uncharacterized LOC102552119". The record is from RNAcentral. Lineage: Eukaryota; Metazoa; Chordata; Mammalia; Rodentia; Muridae.